Long non-coding RNA from Mizuhopecten yessoensis (Yesso scallop), 1115 nucleotides. RefSeq lists it as uncharacterized. The transcript is spliced from 3 exons. NCBI's taxonomy places the organism in Eukaryota, Metazoa, Mollusca, Bivalvia, Pectinida, Pectinidae. The record is from RefSeq and is a predicted model, not a curated record.
AGUUGCUUACACAUACUUGAAUUGUUAUUACAAAUGUUUAUUAUAUAUAGAGUGAUGUUAUCGACAGGUAAGUAAUGAGUUGUUUUUACAAUUGUGUAGUAUAGAUCGCAUUUGGAAGGUUUGUCUUCUGGAAGGAAAAGGUCGUUAUUAGGACCUACACCUAAUUCUAAAAAGAAAAGGUAUUUAUGCACAUACCAGACAUCGUGGUUUAAAGGCUUUUAAUGGAUAAAGCCUAGUGAUCGGGGUCCAAAUGAUGCAUACUGCAAUCUAUGCAAUUCGCAUAUUUCGGUUGGAUCUGGUGCCAAAAAUGAUGUUGGUAGACAUGCAAUAAACACAGAAUCAUAUGCAAAUGGAAAGUGCACAGAGUCAGUCAAUAUCUAUGUCGUCGUUCUUGCCAUCAUCACAGAGUGCACAGACUUCAGAUGUUUCUCUUGAUAUUUUAGGCUGAUGUUGCAAGAAUUGGCAUCCUCAGUGAUCAAAUACGAAGGCUACUGAGGAAGUUCCAACGGAAAUUUGUCAAAGCAUCUGUCAUAUCUUCUCACUCUGAUGUUACCACUGUUCCAUUUGAUGAUCCUCAGAACCAGUUGAGGGAUGAACUGAUCAGUAUUGGAAUGAAGAACAGAGCCUAUAGGGUGGAUUCACAGGAUGACAUUUGUAUGCAGACAGAAAAGGAAUUUCUUAGAGUAGUCAGGCAGUUCUACCAAACCAUUGUCAGCAAGAUGAUAAAGAAAUUUCCCUUUUUCUGACACCACUCUGAAUGACAUUGGACUCAUCAACCCACAGAUGAAUGACCGAUUUACAUCAGACAAGUGUUAAAUUUGGUGAAGAGAUUUCCUGGAAUUGUGAAGGAGGAACAGCUGGAUCUGCUGGAAGAGCAGUUUUCCGACUAUCAACUAGCUAGCCCCUGUUGGUGACAAUCCAGAUUGUGAAAAUGACGACAGAAUUGAACAGUUUUGGGGACAAAUGGAUAGAGUCAAAGACAUCUUGACACAAAAACCAAGAUUCCAUGUGUUGUCCAGACUGGUAAAAACACUGUUGGUACUGCCAAACAGUAACGCAGACUCAGAAAGAGCUUUUUCCAUAGUUAAACAAAUACACACUAAAUUCAGAGCUGA